AUUGCCCCAGUAACGGCGAGUGAAGCGGCAAGAGCUCAAAUUUGAAAGCUGGCUCCUUCGGGGUCCGCAUUGUAAUUUGUAGAGGAUGCUUCGGGAGCGGUCCCCAUCUAAGUGCCCUGGAACGGGACGUCAUAGAGGGUGAGAAUCCCGUAUGGGAUGGGGUGUCCGCGCCCGUGUGAAGCUCCUUCGACGAGUCGAGUUGUUUGGGAAUGCAGCUCUAAAUGGGUGGUAAAUUUCAUCUAAAGCUAAAUAUUGGCCGGAGACCGAUAGCGCACAAGUAGAGUGAUCGAAAGAUGAAAAGCACUUUGAAAAGAGAGUUAAAAAGCACGUGAAAUUGUUGAAAGGGAAGCGCUUGCGACCAGACUCGCUCGCGGGGUUCAGCCGGCAUUCGUGCCGGUGUACUUCCCCGCGGGCGGGCCAGCGUCGGUUUGGGCGGUCGGUCAAAGGCCCUCGGAAGGUAACGCCCCUAGGGGCGUCUUAUAGCCGAGGGUGCAAUGCGACCUGCCUAGACCGAGGAACGCGCUUCGGCUCGGACGCUGGCAUAAUGGUCGUAAACGACCCGUCUUGAAACACGGACCAAGGAGUCUAACAUCUACGCGAGUGUUCGGGUGUCAAACCCGUGCGCGAAGUGAAAGCGAACGGAGGUGGGAACCCUCACGGGUGCACCAUCGACCGAUCCUGAAGUCUUCGGAUGGAUUUGAGUAAGAGCGUAGCUGUUGGGACCCGAAAGAUGGUGAACUAUGCCUGAAUAGGGCGAAGCCAGAGGAAACUCUGGUGGAGGCUCGUAGCGGUUCUGACGUGCAAAUCGAUCGUCGAAUUUGGGUAUAGGGCGAAAGACUAAUC
Molecule: ribosomal RNA, 843 nt
Filed under: Penicillium chrysogenum
Lineage: Eukaryota; Fungi; Ascomycota; Eurotiomycetes; Eurotiales; Aspergillaceae
Description: LSU rRNA
Rfam family: Eukaryotic large subunit ribosomal RNA
Source: RNAcentral